CUGAGGAAUUGUUGCAACCUAUGGACUAUUUGUUGGAAUCCUGACCAAACUGGAAAAGUGGCAGUAACCAUGGAAAAGUCAAAGACAAAAUGACAGCCAAAUCACACCAGUAAAUAAGUGGAGUGAAGACACGUCUGUUUUCACAGCUGAACACUGGAAAUUGCAAAUUUGAUUGCCACUGGCAUUGGAUGCUGGAACUGCUUCUGUUUUUACUGACACUAGCAUACCGGGAUACUUCGAAGUUGCUGUAGUCUCUGCAAUAUUGAGUGUUGGAAGGUGCUAGAAAAUGAGUGUCUGUCUUUUUUGUCUUUUAUACUGGAAGGCAAUCACCUAGACCUAUGCUGGAGAGUCAUCCUACAAGGUCAUUCAAAUGUACAAUAAACUGGUAUGUGUAUUAGUUACUUAUUACAGUACAAUAAGUUAAUCACAAAUAUGAAUGACUAAAACAAAAAAUGUUUAGUAUCUUGCAGUUUCUCUGGUCAGGAAUGUAUUGGCAGCUUAACUGAGUGGUUCUAGCUCAAGGUCUUUCAUGAAGGACCUGGUAGGGGCUGCAGGCAUCUGCUGUCUUGACAGGAGCUGGGGAAUUUGCUUACACGGUGACCCACUCACAUGGCCAUUGGAAGGAGGCACCAAUUUCCUGCCACAUGGGCCUCUUCGUAGGACUACAUUUGUGUUAUCAUGAUGUAGCAGCUGGCUUCUCCAGCGUGAGUAACGUAAGGGGGAGGAAGACAGGCAGAAGCCACGAUUUUUGUUAUAACUUAGCCUCAUAAACUACAUGUCAUCACUUCUGUCAUAUUUAUUGAUCACAUAAAGCAACAAUGAUAUAAAGAAGAAGAGUAGAGUUUAUUUCAUCACUUACAUUUCAAUUUUGGCUACUUAAUUUUAAUCAUAGAGUCUACAAUAGGGGUUUAUUUUAUUAAUCCAAGUAGUACCAAAUAUUACUCUGAGUUUGUUUAAUUAAUAUCCCUAUGAAUUCCUGGGGUUUCAGUCCACUUUGGGAAGAGGCUAGUUUGUUUUCAUAUCUUAAAAGUGAGUAAUAUCAGCAUUGUUGGUAAUUCUAUACCUUCAUAUUCCCAAAGUAGUAUCAAGCAAAUACAUGGUAAGAGUGAGCAUGAGAAGUUGAUGCUGUUCAGUUAUCUGGAUAGCAGGCUAAGCAUUAUUGAUAGAAAAAUCUGCAGCUAUACUCAGAAAACUCAGAACUUCAUGGCAACUUUUUUUUAAAUUAAAAUACAGUUCUUAAGGUUUCAAAGUUUUAUUUCUGUUUUUGUCAAAUAAAACUGUUCUUUCAGAGACCAAUAGUUAGAGGAAGAAACAAAUUAUAUGGACCUCUGGUACAAUUUCCCAAUCUGUGAGCUACCAGACCUGAGUGUUUUGGUAAGAGGUCCACAAAAUCAAAUAUAACAUUCCAUUGUCUGCAGACCAGUUAAUGACUGCAUAGUAUUUUAAUGUAUGUCAUAUGUACAAAUACAAAAAUAUCCUCCAAAAUGGGAAGAUUGGGAACACAAAUUAGAGCCAUCAAAUAAAACUGUUCUUUCAGAGACCAAUAGUUAGAGGAAGAAACAAAUUAUAUGGACCUCUGGUACAAUUUCCCAAUCUGUGAGCUACCAGACCUGAGUGUUUUGGUAAGAGGUCCACAAAAUCAAAUAUAACAUUCCAUUGUCUGCAGACCAGUUAAUGACUGCAUAGUAUUUUAAUGUAUGUCAUAUGUACAAAUACAAAAAUAUCCUCCAAAAUGGGAAGAUUGGGAACACAAAUUAGAGCCAUCAAAUAAAACUGUUCUUUCAGAGACCAAUAGUUAGAGGAAGAAACAAAUUAUAUGGACCUCUGGUACAAUUUCCCAAUCUGUGAGCUACCAGACCUGAGUGUUUUGGUAAGAGGUCCACAAAAUCAAAUAUAACAUUCCAUUGUCUGCAGACCAGUUAAUGACUGCAUAGUAUUUUAAUGUAUGUCAUAUGUACAAAUACAAAAAUAUCCUCCAAAAUGGGAAGAUUGGGAACACAAAUUAGAGCCAUCAAAAAUGCACAUUUUUCCAAUUCCAGGUGACUGAUUAAUUUGUAAAUGGAUUCAACCAUACUCUUUGGGUUUCAAUUUUGUACAAGGCAAUGCACACAAAUACAUAUGUAUCAACCAACAAUUAGGAUGUACAUUUUAUGUCUUAAAUAUCCUGUCAUUGAUAUUUGAGUGGAGUUUUAUUGGGAUCCAAUUGUAUCUACUUUCUGCAGGGGACAAAUUAGUUCAUACCUUAUCUUGACUUAUAGAGGAAUUACUUUUUCAACAGUUUGGAGAGGUGUACAAUUUACCAUACCUUCUGACCUGUAUUAUCUUACUUUUACGGUGAAUAAUAGCAACAAGAUAUUUUGAUCAGAAAAAUCCUGGUAUUUACUACUGAGGUAGUGGUGAAAUAAAAUGACAAACAUUCCUUAUCUGAUAAAAAUAUAUGCAAACCAGCUUUUGUCUUAACCAGUAGAAUAAUAAGAAAUAGAUUAGUUCCCUUCUCCAUUUUCUGUAGCCUUAUAUUUGUUUACCUAUGCAUGAUGAAAAGCAGAUUACUUUCUGAUUACACUGAAGGGUUAUUCAUGUUAUUUGGGGUAUUAUAUUUUUAGGAUUAUGUAUUAUUGCAUUUUAUUGUAAAAACGUAUGCUGUAGUCUUAUGGAAUAAUAAAGUAAUGACUAUGUCAUAAAGAAAUAAUGUAAACAUUGACUUAAUUUCUUGGCAAUACUUUAUAACAAGUAUUUCUUAUGGCUUACAGGAAAAUUAGUAGUUUCUGCACUUAAUUUAUUGUUUAACUCAUUAUAAUUUCAAUUUAUUUCCUAGCAUCCCACUACCUAAAUAGCUUUUAAUAAAGUUGCUUAUUAUCUCGAGUCUCUUUUUUUCUCUGAUUUUAUUUUAGUUUUUACUGUUCAGAAAAUCUGUCUGGCAUUUUACACUUUACUACACAACUCAUCCUUCUCAA
This 2954-nucleotide long non-coding RNA is filed under the name Homo sapiens (human). Its description in RNAcentral is "HSALNT0011763". The record is from RNAcentral. Lineage: Eukaryota; Metazoa; Chordata; Mammalia; Primates; Hominidae.